Molecule: ribosomal RNA, 463 nt
Filed under: uncultured bacterium
Lineage: Bacteria
Description: partial 16S ribosomal RNA
Rfam family: Bacterial small subunit ribosomal RNA
Source: RNAcentral
GAUGAACGCUGACAGAAUGCUUAACACAUGCAAGUCUUUGGCGAAGCUGUGCUUGCACAGCCUAGCCAAGGCGGACGGGUGAGUAACGCGUAAGGAACUUGCCCUGCAGUCAGGGAUAACAGACGGAAACGACUGAUAAGACCUGGUAAAGUCAGGCGGACUCAUGUCCAGCCUGAUGAAAAGAGAUGCUGCAGGAGAGCCUUGCGUCCUAUUAGCUUGUUGGUGGGGUAACGGCCCACCAAGGCGAUGAUAGGUAGCCGGCCGGAGAGGGUGGACGGCCACAAGGGGACUGAGAUACGGCCCUUACUCCUACGGGAGGCAGCAGUGGGGAAUAUUGGACAAUGGGGGCAACCCUGAUCAAGCAAUUCUGUGUGCACGAUGAAGGUUUUCGGAUUGUAAAGUGCUUUCAGAAGGGAAGAAAAAAAUGACGGUACCUGCAGAAGAAGCGACGGCUAAAUACGUG